RNAcentral lists this ribosomal RNA (253 nucleotides) under uncultured bacterium. Its description in RNAcentral is "partial 16S ribosomal RNA". It matches the Rfam family "Bacterial small subunit ribosomal RNA", at positions 524 to 776 of the family's 1533-position model. The record is from RNAcentral.
UACGGAGGGUGCAAGCGUUAUCCGGAUUCACUGGGUUUAAAGGGUGCGUAGGUGGGCAGUUAAGUCAGUGGUGAAAUCUCCGGGCUCAACCCGGAAACUGCCAUUGAUACUAUCUGUCUUGAAUAUCGUGGAGGUAAGCGGAAUAUGUCAUGUAGCGGUGAAAUGCUUAGAUAUGACAUAGAACACCAAUUGCGAAGGCAGCUUACUACCCGAAUAUUGACACUGAGGCACGAAAGCGUGGGGAGCGAUCCGG